CAGUAGCCACGGUAAUACGAAGGGUGCAAGCGUUACUCGGAAUCACUGGGCGUAAAGCGUGCGUAGGUGGUGGUUUAAGUCCGUUGUGAAAGCCCUGGGCUCAACCUGGGAAUUGCAGUGGAUACUGGGUCACUUGAGUGUGGUAGAGGAUAGUGGAAUUUCCGGUGUAGCAGUGAAAUGCGUAGAGAUCGGAAGGAACAUCUGUGGCGAAGGCGACUAUCUGGGCCAACACUGACACUGAGGCACGAAAGCGUGGGGAGCAAACAGGAUUAGAUACCCCGGUAGUCCCUGUCUCUUAUAC
This 301-nucleotide ribosomal RNA is filed under the name uncultured bacterium. Its description in RNAcentral is "partial 16S ribosomal RNA". It matches the Rfam family "Bacterial small subunit ribosomal RNA", at positions 509 to 807 of the family's 1533-position model. The record is from RNAcentral.